This 376-nucleotide ribosomal RNA is filed under the name uncultured Helicobacter sp. Its description in RNAcentral is "bacterial SSU rRNA". It matches the Rfam family "Bacterial small subunit ribosomal RNA", at positions 274 to 667 of the family's 1533-position model. The record is from RNAcentral. Lineage: Bacteria; Pseudomonadati; Campylobacterota; Epsilonproteobacteria; Campylobacterales; Helicobacteraceae.
CUAUGACGGGUAUCCGGCCUGAGAGGGUGAUCGGACACACUGGAACUGAGACACGGUCCAGACUCCUACGGGAGGCAGCAGUAGGGAAUAUUGCUCAAUGGGCGCAAGCCUGAAGCAGCAACGCCGCGUGGAGGAUGAAGGUUUUCGGAUUGUAAACUCCUUUUGUUAGAGAAGAUAAUGACGGUAUCUAACGAAUAAGCACCGGCUAACUCCGUGCCAGCAGCCGCGGUAAUACGGAGGGUGCAAGCGUUACUCGGAAUCACUGGGCGUAAAGAGCGCGUAGGCGGGAUUGUAAGUCAGAUGUGAAAUCCUAUGGCUUAACCAUAGAACUGCAUUUGAAACUACAACCCUAGAGUGUGGGAGAGGUAGGUGGAAU